GAUGAACGCUGGCGGCGUGCCUAAUACAUGCAAGUUGAGCGAACAGACGAGGAGCUUGCUCCUCUGACGUUAGCGGCGGACGGGUGAGUAACACGUGGAUAACCUACCUAUAAGACUGGGAUAACUUCGGGAAACCGGAGCUAAUACCGGAUAAUAUAUUGAACCGCAUGGUUCAAUAGUGAAAGACGGUUUUGCUGUCACUUAUAGAUGGAUCCGCGCCGCAUUAGCUAGUUGGUAAGGUAACGGCUUACCAAGGCAACGAUGCGUAGCCGACCUGAGAGGGUGAUCGGCCACACUGGAACUGAGACACGGUCCAGACUCCUACGGGAGGCAGCAGUAGGGAAUCUUCCGCAAUGGGCGAAAGCCUGACGGAGCAACGCCGCGUGAGUGAUGAAGGUCUUCGGAUCGUAAAACUCUGUUAUUAGGGAAGAACAAAUGUGUAGGUAACUAUGCACGUCUUGACGGUACCUAAUCAGAAAGCCACGGCUAACUACGUG
Molecule: ribosomal RNA, 497 nt
Filed under: uncultured bacterium
Lineage: Bacteria
Description: partial 16S ribosomal RNA
Rfam family: Bacterial small subunit ribosomal RNA
Source: RNAcentral